UAAGUUACUCGUAAAGCGGUCAAGGUACGAAUCUGUUGUUUUGAUUUGCUUUUAAAAUGAAGGCAUUUGAUUUUUUCUAUAAAUUAAGAUGUUGUUACUUUGAUCUUAUCAAGGCAAUAGAACUUGCGUUCUUGGAAUUCUUUCUCUGAAAUUUCUCAUAUCCUUUACUUUCAUCUGUUUAAUUCUAGUUGUUCAAUUCUUUGUUGUUAUUGUUUCCGCAUUUCUCAAAUUUUACUCUAGUUUGGAUUCCCGACGUAGUUGUUAUCAAGUGGUAUCAGAGUGGUUCUAUCAAGAUUUCGUUCUUGGUAAGUCUUGGGUUUUUUUUGAAUACUAAGAGCAAAGAAAAGGAAACAAAAGAAAAAAAAAUUAAAAAAAAACAAAAAAAAAUUAAAAAAUAAUUAAAAAAAGAAUUGCUUGCUUUCCAAAAAAAAUUCUUUGUAUCGAAUUUCUUUCCAAAAGUUAGCAAACGAAACCAAAAGAGGGGAUCCUAGAUUUUCUUACUCAUUCUAAUCUACAUAUUAUAUCCUUUCCUUUUUGUUCGCGUCUUGUUUCAACCAAGC
This 560-nucleotide long non-coding RNA is filed under the name Nicotiana benthamiana. RNAcentral's name for it is "long non-coding RNA (NBEN_LNC012749)". Lineage: Eukaryota; Viridiplantae; Streptophyta; Magnoliopsida; Solanales; Solanaceae. The record is from RNAcentral.